Sorex fumeus (smoky shrew) is the source of this 108-nucleotide small nuclear RNA. NCBI's taxonomy places the organism in Eukaryota, Metazoa, Chordata, Mammalia, Eulipotyphla, Soricidae. The record is from RefSeq and is a predicted model, not a curated record.
GUGCUCGCUUCGGCAGCACAUAUACUAAAAUUGGAACGAUACAGAGAAGAUUAGCAUGGCCCCUGUGCAAGGAUGACAUGCAAAUUUUUAAAAAUAAUCUAAACAAAA